UCGAUUCACUUCUAAAUUGCGAGUGCACCAGAGGCAGGAGAACGCACAAAAGCGAAAUAAAACGCGUUAGGUUUCAACCAUAUUGCACAACCAAGAAACCAGCGUUCUUAUUUGCAAAUCCUGCAGGUGCAACAAAUUUUUAUUUCGCUUUUGGUGCCACGUGGAGCGGUGCACCCAGUCGAGCGGUCAUAGGGAAACGGGCGUCGACAUCCAGGACUAAACGCUGCUAGCAAAGUGGGAAGAACAAGGUCGCUACAACAUACACAAAUUUAAGCAAGCAGGUGCCGGUAUCACAUUCCGCCGGCGAGUAUACAUAAAAUAACACAAUACAUCGCUUGGUAUAAUACGGUGGCUGGCAAUGCACGUUAAUUCGGUACGUUAUAUACAUUGAUUUGGUACAAUAUAACGAUCGGAGCCAUAUUGGCGCAAUAUAUUACAUCGAGUGGUACGAUAUACACACGCUGUGAGCAAGCAGUAGCACGGGGCCAACGACAGCCAGCCAGUGAGAUAGAAGCGUUGGGCA
Long non-coding RNA from Rhagoletis pomonella (apple maggot), 523 nucleotides. RefSeq lists it as uncharacterized. The transcript has 2 exons. NCBI's taxonomy places the organism in Eukaryota, Metazoa, Arthropoda, Insecta, Diptera, Tephritidae. The record is from RefSeq and is a predicted model, not a curated record.